This 1843-nucleotide long non-coding RNA is filed under the name Homo sapiens (human). RNAcentral describes it as "long non-coding RNA NONHSAT151702.1". The record is from RNAcentral. Lineage: Eukaryota; Metazoa; Chordata; Mammalia; Primates; Hominidae.
CAAAGCCAUGAAGUCACCCCAAGUUCAAACCCAAAAUGCAAUUUGCAGUGGUUAGAAAUGACAAAGGAUGGGUGGUAGGAUCCAGAGAAAAAACAGUGAAACCCGAUGGACCUUAAAUAGAUCUGAGGGCACUGAUUUGAUUAUUUUGGGUGAAAUCUUUUAAGAAAAUCUUGUCAGAUUCUUCACAGAAAAUUUGGUAAAGCCUAUAUUUCAUCGCCAGCCUAGCAAAGGCAAGCUGGCAAACAGGGAAACAAGGAGAACUGUGUGCUCAGCCCUCCAGAGUGGCACGGAUUAUGAGGAGGUGAUGGUCCUUCCCCGCCAAGAUCCUGAGACACUGUCACUCCGGAAUCCAAAAAGAGAUUCAGUUCACCUUGUGCCCAACCUUCUGUCUCCCUGAGUCAGACCUGCAGACGAUUGCAUGCCACCAGCUGUCUUCACUCCUGAGAACAUGACACAAAGGAAUGCUCCCUGUCAAGUUCUUCAUUAUCCUUCUGAUGAAUUUCCCCUGGUUUAAACAAGUUGGUGGUAGACAGACCUUUCUCGCAUUUUCACAGACGUGCCAGGAGGAAACCCAGCGUCUCUCAGUUUCCUUUAAAUAUAUGAGAUACCAUGAAAGGAUUUGAGCGUUUUUUUAUGUGAAUCCAAAGAUGACAUUUACAAAAGGUGGAGAAGCAGUUCCCUACUGAGGGACGUGGAUACAAAAAGCAGAUGACACAACACAGCCCAUAGAGUUCCCAGGGAAGAAUGAACCCAGAUUCUUGACCUGCAGAGGUGGCGUACUGGCUGGAGAAAUCUCUGGCUGGCGACCGUGCUAUUCUGUCUGUCCACCUAACUGUGGGCUCCCAGAUCACCACUGCCAUGGGCAGGGGGCCGUGGGGUGGGCCUGCUUGGGGUGACAGGCUAGCUGUGCUCCCAUAGCAGAGGUGGGAGAAGGGAAUCACAUCUGGUGAGCAGCUAUGUCGUGCCAGGCACUGUGCUGUGUAUUGCACACAUCUCAAACCUUGUGACAAAUGUGUAAGAUAUUUUUUAUGUAUUACAUGGACCACCUCUUCUGAACUGAAGGAAAAAAUGAUGUUAGUUCUCUGCGCGAAUACAAAGAAACACCUGGAAGCCUUGGCAAGGGGAUGAGAUUUGGCAGAGAUCUUUCCGUGUACCGAUGCAUCCUCAGGAAAAUGAUGUGCCGCUCAUUGUUCCUGUUGUCAAGGUUAUCGCAGUCGACUUCAGGCUGGAACGGGCAUUGCUCUUGCACUGAAGAAAGUCUGUCCUGACUCCCUCAGAGUGCCUCAACAUCAACCAAGAGCCACCGUGAACCUCUGGGGCACUGAGCCUGGCCACCAGCACCCCCACCCCAGCCCAUAUGGCCUGGGCCUCUCCCUUGAUGUUUAAAGGAGAUGAUAAAAAUGCUGCAACCCAGAUAAUGAUCACCUUACUCUUCAAAAAUACUGCCCAAGUUCUUUGUUCAAGAUGCCAAGAACCUGGAUACCCUCCACUGGUAACAAAUAUGACUUUGUUUUUAGCAAGCAACUUUGCAGUGUAAUUAAGUUAAGGAUCUUGAGAUGAGAUCAUCUUGGAAUAUCUGGGUGGGCCCUAAAUCCAAUGACAAGUGUCCUCAUAGGAAGGGAAGAUACACACAGAGGAGAAGGUGGUGUGAAGAUGGAAGCCAAGACUGUUGAUACCAGUUGGAGAGCACCAAGAACUACCCGCAGCCACUGAAAGCUAGGAGAGAGGCAUAGGACUGUCUCCUUCAGACCCUCCAGAAAGACCAAACCUGCCCGUGCCUUGAUUUCAGACUUUUGGCCUCCCACAUUGUGAGAGAAUAAAAUUUUGUUUUUGAAGCCAUCUA